ACGCAAUUGGUGUAUCGGUAACAUUAGCGUUUCCCAUCAAUCAAUCAAGGUACGCUAGCAGAGGGUUCGACUCCCUCAUUGCGUA
Naematelia encephala is the source of this 85-nucleotide non-coding RNA. Lineage: Eukaryota; Fungi; Basidiomycota; Tremellomycetes; Tremellales; Naemateliaceae. The record is from the annotation of a GenBank genome assembly.